UGGCUCUCUCGGGGGUCCGAGUUGUAAUUUGCAGAGGGUGCUUUGGCAUCGGCGGCGGUCUAAGUUCCUUGGAACAGGACAACACAGAGGGUGAGAUUCCCGUAUCUGGGCGCCUGCCUUUGCCGUGUAAAGCCCCUUCGACGAGUCGAGUUGUUUGGGAAUGCAGCUCUAAAUGGGAGGUAAAUUUCUUCUAAAGCUAAAUACCGGCCAGAGACCGAUAGCGCACAAGUAGAGUGAUCGAAAGAUGAAAAGUACUUUGGAAAGAGAGUCAAAUAGCACGUGAAAUUGUUGAAAGGGAAGCGCUUGCAGCCGGACUUGCCCGCAGUUGCUCACCCAGGCUCCGGCCUGGGGCACUCUUCUGCGGGCAGGCCAGCAUCAGUUUGGGCGGUUGGAUAAAGGCCUCUGUCACGUAUCUCCCUCCGGGGUGACCUUAUAGGGGAGGCGUAAUGCAACCNGCCCGGACUGAGGUCCGCGCAUCUGCUAGGAUGCUGGCGUAAUGGCUGUAAGCGGCCCGUCUUGAAACACGGACCA
RNAcentral lists this ribosomal RNA (531 nucleotides) under soil fungal sp. DM2-334. RNAcentral describes it as "eukaryotic LSU rRNA". It matches the Rfam family "Eukaryotic large subunit ribosomal RNA", at positions 122 to 668 of the family's 3401-position model. Lineage: Eukaryota; Fungi. The record is from RNAcentral.